RNAcentral lists this small nucleolar RNA (85 nucleotides) under Sorex araneus (European shrew). RNAcentral describes it as "Small nucleolar RNA SNORA25 (ENSSARG00000019866.1)". The record is from RNAcentral. Lineage: Eukaryota; Metazoa; Chordata; Mammalia; Eulipotyphla; Soricidae.
AGAUGAUUGUAAAGGAGCUAUUGGGAUUGAAACCAAGAGCUCUUAACACGGGGACCAAAGAUUGAAAAUCCCCCUGGAUGCAAUG